UGGCUUAGUGGUUAAGAGCACUGGCUGUUCUUCCAGAGGAUCUGGGUUCAAUUCCCAG
RNAcentral lists this transfer RNA (58 nucleotides) under Cricetulus griseus (Chinese hamster). It matches the Rfam family "tRNA", at positions 8 to 63 of the family's 71-position model. Rfam says of the family: Transfer RNA (tRNA) molecules are approximately 80 nucleotides in length. Their secondary structure includes four short double-helical elements and three loops (D, anti-codon, and T loops). Lineage: Eukaryota; Metazoa; Chordata; Mammalia; Rodentia; Cricetidae. The record is from Rfam by way of RNAcentral.